This 89-nucleotide non-coding RNA is filed under the name Gammaproteobacteria bacterium. Its description in RNAcentral is "c-di-GMP sequence". It matches the Rfam family "c-di-GMP-I riboswitch aptamer". From Rfam's summary of the family: GEMM was predicted in a large-scale screen for bacterial structured RNA regulatory elements. The record is from RNAcentral. Lineage: Bacteria; Pseudomonadati; Pseudomonadota; Gammaproteobacteria.
UUCAGUCAAGGGCAAAGCCACCGAAAGGGGGCGACGCAAAGUCUCCGGUCUACAGGGCCUCCGGGCCCCACGAUAGCGGGACCGCCGGA